GAUGAACGCUGGCGGCGUGCCUAAUACAUGCAAGUCGAGCGAACAGACGAGGAGCUUGCUCCUCUGACGUUAGCGGCGGACGGGUGAGUAACACGUGGAUAACCUACCUAUAAGACUGGGAUAACUUCGGGAAACCGGAGCUAAUACCGGAUAAUAUAUUGAACCGCAUGGUUCAAUAGUGAAAGACGGUUUUGCUGUCACUUAUAGAUGGAUCCGCGCCGCAUUAGCUAGUUGGUAAGGUAACGGCUUACCAAGGCAACGAUGCGUAGCCGACCUGAGAGGGUGAUCGGCCACACUGGAACUGGAACACGGUCCAGACUCCUAAGGGAGGCAGCAGUAGGGAAUCUUCCGCAAUGGGCGAAAGCCUGACGGAGCAACGCCGCGUGAGUGAUGAAGGUCUUCGGAUCGUAAAACUCUGUUAUUAGGGAAGAACAAAUGUGUAAGUAACUAUGCACGUCUUGACGGUACCUAAUCAGAAAGCCACGGCUAACUACGUG
Molecule: ribosomal RNA, 497 nt
Filed under: uncultured bacterium
Lineage: Bacteria
Description: partial 16S ribosomal RNA
Rfam family: Bacterial small subunit ribosomal RNA
Source: RNAcentral